This is a long non-coding RNA of Planococcus citri (citrus mealybug), 1478 nucleotides long. RefSeq lists it as uncharacterized. The transcript has 2 exons. Lineage: Eukaryota; Metazoa; Arthropoda; Insecta; Hemiptera; Pseudococcidae. The record is from RefSeq and is a predicted model, not a curated record.
UUCAACUGAACAAAAUCAUAGCAUUUGAAACUGGUUCCAUCACACGCCGCUAGAGGGACAAGACUUCUUUUCAGAUCGGAACAUUGUAAGAGUGCGAAGUCCUCUACCAGGAUACCCUACCCUUUUCCUAGUAUUUCAGAUUCAGUUACUAAACGAAAUCAUCUCCUCAUGGUCAUACGCACUUCAAGCAGCAAAUGUGUUUUAAUUCUGUUUUAAUUUUGUUUACGUACUGAAGUUGAAGACAUAGGUCUAUUCUACAUCAAAUCAUUAAUUUAAACAACUGGUUCAAUACGGAGAGCUCACUAUCCCAACAAAAUGUUUUCACUCGAACCCGUAAUCAAAUUAUUUGAAGAAAUCUGUGAACUGGAAAUGGAAGUUCUAAUAAAACACGAAAUAAGUGGAGAUGAAGCUAAAACUCUUCAUAACCGACUGAUCUCUUUCAACGUGAAAUUCAUCAAAUACCAAGUGCAAAUUACAACCGAAUGCAAAAUAUAUCAAGACAAUGUGGAUUUGAGAGAACUCAACGUUGAACUCAACUUUUGCAACUCAAUGCAGCAAAAAAUAACGAACCUCGAAACAAAGUUGAAAAAAUUUUUCCAACCGAGCGUUGAUCUACCCACAGGCAGCAAAUUAAACUCGUUUAUUCAAAAACAAAAAUUUUUGAUCGAAAUGACCUCGAGUUUGGAAGCGAGCGAUGAUCUUAACAUGGCAGAAGCGGAAGUGCGAUACAAUAAUCUAAUCUCACUUCACCAAUUAUUCAUUUCGAAUCAAAUGGAGAUCAUGACACAUGUCAACGGAGCCGGUCUCGAAGAUCAGAUAAAAAUAUCUAAAGAAAUACAGCAAAAAGUGAUCUCACUUCAAACAAAACUCAAAGAAAAGUUCGCGUAAGGAACCAACAUUUCCAACCGAACUCAAAGCCAGUGAUCUUGAUCAAUCUACACGAAAUCAAAACGUUAAAUCUGCCAGUAACACCGCCACUGACUCGGAUACUUUGCUUCGCCAAAAACUAAAACUUUCAUCAGACCGGGGUAAUUCAUCGAACGGAAAUAAUAGUGAAUUCAAAACCACAGCAGUCAAUGAAUCAAUAACUACCGACGGCACAUCCUCGAAAGAAACCGAGGUCGAGGAUCAAUCAGAAUCAGAUGAAUCAUAAAACGGAUACGUUCAAAGUAAACUCAUUGCGAUCGUAAGGAUACCUACUCGACGUUUUAAUGGAAACAGUACAAAAACGUGAUAAUAAAAUGAGAGGGUUGGAAUUAUUUCCUGAUUACAUUCAUGUUCUUGAAAAGGAGUUUAACACUCAUCAAAAGGUGUUUACGUUUAGGUUGGAAAUUGCCGAUUGCGAGUGUUGGCUCAAAGAUUGAUCAAGCUCUCAAGUGCCUACUCAAAUUAAAAAUAAGUACCUUCUUACUAAAAAAUCACGAUGAUUUGAUGAUUGUCAAUUCGUGUGUUACAGAAUAAAUCUUAAUUGACUAAAA